GCCGAUAUAGCUCAGGUAGUAGAGCAUCGUCUUGGUAAGACGAAGGUCAUCAGUGCAAAUCUGAUUAUCGGCUCCA
Molecule: transfer RNA, 76 nt
Filed under: Candidatus Nomurabacteria bacterium RIFCSPHIGHO2_01_FULL_41_71
Lineage: Bacteria; Candidatus Nomuraibacteriota
Description: tRNA-Thr
Rfam family: tRNA
About the family: Transfer RNA (tRNA) molecules are approximately 80 nucleotides in length. Their secondary structure includes four short double-helical elements and three loops (D, anti-codon, and T loops). Further hydrogen bonds mediate the characteristic L-shaped molecular structure. tRNAs have two regions of fundamental functional importance: the anti-codon, which is responsible for specific mRNA codon recognition, and the 3' end, to which the tRNAs corresponding amino acid is attached (by aminoacyl-tRNA synthetases). tRNAs cope with the degeneracy of the genetic code in two manners: having more than one tRNA (with a specific anti-codon) for a particular amino acid; and 'wobble' base-pairing, i.e. permitting non-standard base-pairing at the 3rd anti-codon position.
Source: RNAcentral